This 168-nucleotide unclassified non-coding RNA is filed under the name uncultured Leptodontidium. RNAcentral's name for it is "sequence contains ITS1". Lineage: Eukaryota; Fungi; Ascomycota. The record is from RNAcentral.
CAGAGUUCAUGCCCUUACGGGUAGAUCUCCCACCCUGUGUUAUUGUUACCUUUGUUGCUUUGGCGGGCCGUCUAGCUUCGGCCAGACUACCGGCUCCGGCUGGUAUGUGCCCGCCAGAGGACCCCAAACUCUGAAUGUUAGUGUCGUCUGAGUACUAUAUAAUAGUUA